UGGCCUACAGGAACAAGGAACAGUCAGGAAGUCAUGAGGAAUGACUGAUACCCAAAGCUGGAGCAGUUAAUCCGUGCAUUGAGGCCCCCACAGAUUUUAUAAAUCCCCGUCGAUCAGUGUAUUUCAUCUAUAUCAUGACCCCAAGGCUCUGCCUUAUCAUUUCAACACAUACUUGCGGGCUUCUCCAGAGUUUAUUGUAUUUGAUACAAUACUAUACAAAGUUAUUCCCCUUAGAUCUGUGAUCAUAAAGUUUUCCAUAAGAAACAUACAUUGGUACACAAACUACUACAGCUGUUUUCAUGAGUAUAUUACAAUUUAAAAGAAUGCCACUGUUAAAUGCAUUUGAUAAAAUAUGCACUGUUCUCUAAACACUGCCAUAUAAAAUGUCGGCCUAUCUUUUCAAAGAGCCUCUCCCUUCAGGACAUGUUUCUUUGAUCACCUCUUUUCCAGACCAUCAUCAAAAGUUUCAUUCAGGUGCAAGGUGCCUGCUGCUGUGACAAGCUGGAAAAUCCAUUGCAUUUCCAGGGUCACCUGUUUGUCAUUAGCUUCAUCAAUGAGACAGCCAGCAUCAAGGUCAAGGUCUUCACAUCCAGGCUUCUCUCAAGCCCCACCAAUGAGCUAAGAAGCUGUCACCAUCCUCUUGGACUUCCCGGCCUCCAAAACC
RNAcentral lists this long non-coding RNA (664 nucleotides) under Homo sapiens (human). Its description in RNAcentral is "HSALNT0066938". The record is from RNAcentral. Lineage: Eukaryota; Metazoa; Chordata; Mammalia; Primates; Hominidae.